GAUGAACGCUAGCUACAGGCUUAACACAUGCAAGUCGAGGGGAAACGACAUCGAAAGCUUGCUUUUGAUGGGCGUCGACCGGCGCACGGGUGAGUAACGCGUAUCCAACCUGCCCGCCACUUGGGGAUAACCUUGCGAAAGUAAGACUAAUACCCAAUGAUAUCUCUAGAAGACAUCUGAAAGAGAUUAAAGAUUUAUCGGUGAUGGAUGGGGAUGCGUCUGAUUAGCUUGUUGGCGGGGUAACGGCCCACCAAGGCUACGAUCAGUAGGGGUUCUGAGAGGAAGGUCCCCCACAUUGGAACUGAGACACGGUCCAAACUCCUACGGGAGGCAGCAGUGAGGAAUAUUGGUCAAUGGGCGAGAGCCUGAACCAGCCAAGUAGCGUGCAGGAUGACGGCCCUAUGGGUUGUAAACUGCUUUUAUAAGGGAAUAAAGUGAGCCUCGUGAGGCUUUUUGCAUGUACCUUAUGAAUAGGGACCGGCUAAUUCCGUGCCAGCCGCCGCCGUAA
This 508-nucleotide ribosomal RNA is filed under the name uncultured bacterium. Its description in RNAcentral is "partial 16S ribosomal RNA". It matches the Rfam family "Bacterial small subunit ribosomal RNA", at positions 28 to 523 of the family's 1533-position model. The record is from RNAcentral.